This 301-nucleotide unclassified non-coding RNA is filed under the name Gigaspora margarita. Its description in RNAcentral is "partial contains 5.8S ribosomal RNA, internal transcribed spacer 2, and large subunit ribosomal RNA". The stretch from base 1 to 71 matches the Rfam family "5.8S ribosomal RNA", at positions 84 to 154 of the family's 154-position model. Lineage: Eukaryota; Fungi; Glomeromycota; Glomeromycetes; Diversisporales; Gigasporaceae. The record is from RNAcentral.
GUGAAUCAUCAAAUUUUUGAACGCAAAUUGCACUUCUUGGUAUUCCGAGGAGUACACAUGCUUGAGGGUCAGUUAAAAAAAAAUCGUGCAUCUUUGAUGUUGCGGACCUGAGUAUUCCGAUUUUAUUAAUCGGUUACCUAAAAUUAUAUAUAUGUAAUGUGAAGCGUACUAAUUAUAGUCGCUAAUCAUUUAUACUUAUUACAUUACAACUAUACGAAAGUAUUUAGUUGGUGUAUAAAUUAUGAAAAUGACCUCAAGUCAUGUGAGAGUACCCGCUGAACUUAAGCAUAUCAAUAAGCGG